GUGUGUGUGUGUGUGUGUGUGUGUGUGUGUGUGUGUGUGUGUCUAGGUGUCUAGAGAUUAAAUCCAAGGCUUGCUAAGUAAGCACUGUACUGUGGAACUACAUCUCCAGCUUUUAUCCUUAAAACUCUUUAUGUAACUUAUUCAUGACUCAUUGUAUUUCAGAGAAGUCUUGACCAGCACCAGUUGGGUACUUUAUACAAUACUAAUAAUGAUCAUGAUGGAAAGGUCACAGAACCUUUGUCCUUGAGAUACUUGUUCCCAAUUAUAGAAUGGAAGUUGAUUUAAAUUGCUGUAGUCCUAAACAAUCAAAUAGCUCCCUAACUCUUCUGACUUAGACGCUGAGAUCUUUAUUAGCAUGUUGUGUCUAGAUAGGAAGGACAAUCAUGCAUUAUUAAGAUUGCAAUUAUGUCCCUUGAGAUGCCCCUCAGAACAACUAAGGAAGACAGGUAUGAACGUUUUAUUCACCGACCUUGCGAAUGUCUACCACUCUGCCUCUACUGACUCCCCUGAGGUUCCCUAAGGAAAGUCAGCUUCUGGGGUAGAGUUCUGUCAAAGGUGUCCAACCCAUGACCCAUGUAUCAAACUUGUUUAAGGGUACCUAGAAUGUAGCUCAUAUAAAAUUAUAAACAUAUUUAAAAGUAUUAAGAGAUUUGUGUGUACAUAUAUUUCCCCCAACCCCAGCGGGGUUGUAACUCAAUUGCACAAUUCUUCCGGGUGAACUCUAGAUGACCACGUUGUAUUACACUGUGAAAAGGCUGGACGUGCCAUCAUCAGGUCAAUCACUCUUCAGUGUGUCGACACGGGAGACUGGCCUGGGGCUUGCAGACCUCCUCUUGUUGGUGUCCCCAGUGUUGGGCUGUAGUCUAGUGCCACCACAUGUCAUGCUGCUCCGUCACCUAACAGACACUGAGUCCCAGUGAGCUUAAAAGCAGUGCUCAGCUCACUGUAGUUUUCUGUGUUACGACUCAUGUCAGCUGCUGUUUCCAUCUCAGGAAGCCUCAACACCACUUCCAAAACCUUGUCAUCUCCGAGAUAAGCAAUUAAAGCGUACAGUUUGUGACUCUGGCAUUGGCCUUGUUCCCUGUACAAUUAAUGCUCUGAUGGUUCAUUCAUGUCAUGUGUGUCAGCACGUAAUUUCUUUUUGUUGCCAAACACUAUCCUAUGGCAUGGAUGCUCUACAGACUUGCUCCUCGCCCCAUGAGCAGAGUGCAGGUGUAAAGCCCAGUGGGAAAGCAGUUGAUGAUGUCACGUUGCGUUGGGUGAUAGUUGAUGAUGUCAUGUUGUUCUGGGUGAUGGUUGAUGAUGUCAUGUGUUGCUGGAUGAUAGUUGAUGAUGUCACGUUGUGCUGGGUGAUGAUAGUUGAUGAUGUCAGGUUGUGCUUGGUGAUCAGUAGUCCAGGCUCCGUGGAAGAAGAGGAUCAGAUGAGGGUGUGAGAGACCCCACUCAUCACCCUCCUCAUCUUCUGUAAUCUGAGUAAUUCUGUUUCCCCUCACAAAUCCAUAGCUUGAAGCCAUCACUUGAAGCCAGAAUAAUGGUGUUUAAAAAGUGGGGUUUGGGAGAAAUAAAAGAGAUGCCCAGC
Molecule: long non-coding RNA, 1579 nt
Filed under: Mus musculus (house mouse)
Lineage: Eukaryota; Metazoa; Chordata; Mammalia; Rodentia; Muridae
Description: long non-coding RNA chr8:18801607-18803186
Source: RNAcentral